This 277-nucleotide ribosomal RNA is filed under the name Prevotella sp. HMSC077E09. Its description in RNAcentral is "partial 16S ribosomal RNA". It matches the Rfam family "Bacterial small subunit ribosomal RNA", at positions 1254 to 1533 of the family's 1533-position model. The record is from RNAcentral. Lineage: Bacteria; Pseudomonadati; Bacteroidota; Bacteroidia; Bacteroidales; Prevotellaceae. RNAcentral also lists the same sequence under 1 other name.
UGUGCAAACACGAUCUAAUCCUUAAAUCCGGUCCCAGUUCGGACUGGGGUCUGCAACCCGACCCCACGAAGCUGGAUUCGCUAGUAAUCGCGCAUCAGCCAUGGCGCGGUGAAUACGUUCCCGGGCCUUGUACACACCGCCCGUCAAGCCAUGAAAGCCGGGGGUGCCUGAAGUCUGUGACCGCAAGGAACGGCCUAGGGCAAAACCGGUGAUUGGGGCUAAGUCGUAACAAGGUAGCCGUACCGGAAGGUGCGGCUGGAACACCUCCUUUCUGGAG